GAAUGUGUUUAAUGUUUUGAUCGGGACAGAAGAGCGGUGUUUGACCCGCGUCUAUGCCGCCUCACAGUCACCCAGUUGACCUGCUCCAGAGGCAUUGUAACCAUAUGUAUAUUCUGUCCUGAAUAAUGGGACAUUUGAGGACAGUCAAACACUCUAAAGCCAAAAGCUAGUUCUAUUCUUCACCUUUGCCUUCUAAAUGAACCCAAGAAGCCCUUCUGAGUUCCCCGCUGAUCCUGGUGCUCUCAUCCAGCUCACAGACUCAUUACAGGAGAGAAGGGAUUUCUGGACACUGCCCUGGCAACCCGGAAUGGGAAUGUGCAUGAGAGCGAGACAGCGAGACUGAGAAGGAGUGGAGGGGGUCUGCGGUGAGGAGCCGCUUAAACGCCACCCACGGACCGUCCAUAUGCUUCUGUCGUGAGGAACUCCAGGAACGCAGCAGAAAAAUGCCUGGAAUUCCUGAUGGGAAUCUGAUCAAGCUUACAGCUGGAAAGUGGAAGGUGUGUUAUUGUGGCGUGAUGUCGUGCCUGAGGCUGCAGUUUAUUCACACAGAGGGAAGAAGAGGACAAAGAUCUGCCAUCAUCAUCAUCACAUCUGAACAGAUGAGCUUCAUCUGACGUCUAAUGACUCACAGCAGCUGCUGUCGCCGCGUCCGGGCCUCUGGGUUACUCUCAGAUAAUAAUAAUACAGAUGAAGAAACUUUAGUCUAUUUACCUUACCUUACCUUGUUCACUGUGUGUGAGUUUCAAUAAAUCUCAGUAAAGUCUCA
This is a long non-coding RNA of Carassius gibelio (silver crucian carp), 766 nucleotides long. RefSeq lists it as uncharacterized. Lineage: Eukaryota; Metazoa; Chordata; Actinopteri; Cypriniformes; Cyprinidae. The record is from RefSeq and is a predicted model, not a curated record. The transcript has 2 exons.